This 499-nucleotide ribosomal RNA is filed under the name uncultured bacterium. Its description in RNAcentral is "partial 16S ribosomal RNA". It matches the Rfam family "Bacterial small subunit ribosomal RNA", at positions 28 to 507 of the family's 1533-position model. The record is from RNAcentral.
GACGAACGCUGGCGGCGUGCCUAAUACAUGCAAGUCGAGCGAAGUUUUUCUGGUGCUUGCACCGGAAAAACUUAGCGGCGAACGGGUGAGUAACACGUAAAGAACCUGCCUCAUAGACUGGGACAACUAUUGGAAACGAUAGCUAAUACCGGAUAAUAGCAUUAACUGCAUGGUUGAUGUUUAAAAGUUGGUUUUGCUAACACUAUGAGAUGGCUUUGCGGUGCAUUAGCUAGUUGGUGGGGUAAAGGCCUACCAAGGCGACGAUGCAUAGCCGACCUGAGAGGGUGAUCGGCCACACUGGGACUGAGACACGGCCCAGACUCCUACGGGAGGCAGAAGUAGGGAAUCUUCCGCAAUGGGCGAAAGCCUGACGGAGCAACGCCGCGUGAGUGAAGAAGGAUUUCGGUUAGUAAAGCUCUGUUGUUAGGGAAGAAUGAUUGUGUAGUAACUAUACACAGUAGAGACGGUACCUAACCAGAAAGCCACGGCUAACUACGUG